This 674-nucleotide ribosomal RNA is filed under the name uncultured bacterium. Its description in RNAcentral is "bacterial SSU rRNA". It matches the Rfam family "Bacterial small subunit ribosomal RNA", at positions 136 to 792 of the family's 1533-position model. The record is from RNAcentral.
GAGUCGUAUUACNNUUCNCUGGGCGUCGUUUUACANACUGCUAAUACCGCAUAAUGUCUACGGACCAAAGGGGGGGCUCUUCGGACCUCUUGCCUAANNNNUAGCCCAAGUGAGAUUAGCUAGUUGGUGGGGUAAAGGCCUACCAAGGCGACGAUCUCUAGCUGGUUUGAGAGGAUGAUCAGCCACACUGGGACUGAGACACGGCCCAGACUCCUACGGGAGGCAGCAGUGGGGAAUAUUGCACAAUGGGGGAAACCCUGAUGCAGCCAUGCCGCGUGUGUGAAGAAGGCCUUCGGGUUGUAAAGCACUUUCAGUUGUGAGGAAAGGGAUGUAGUUAAUACCUACAUUCUGUGACGUUAGCAACAGAAGAAGCACCGGCUAACUCCGUGCCAGCAGCCGCGGUAAUACGGAGGGUGCGAGCGUUAAUCGGAAUUACUGGGCGUAAAGCGUGCGUAGGCGGUUAUAUAAGCUAGAUGUGAAAGCCCGGGGCUUAACCUCGGAACUGCAUUUAGAACUGUAUGACUAGAGUUUUGUAGAGGGUGGUGGAAUUUCCAGUGUAGCGGUGAAAUGCGUAGAGAUUGGAAGGAACAUCAGUGGCGAAGGCGGCCACCUGGACAAAAACUGACGCUGAGGCACGAAAGCGUGGGUAGCAAACAGGAUUAGAUACCCUGGUA